Molecule: ribosomal RNA, 305 nt
Filed under: uncultured bacterium
Lineage: Bacteria
Description: bacterial SSU rRNA
Rfam family: Bacterial small subunit ribosomal RNA
Source: RNAcentral
GAUGUCCUACGGGGGGCAGCAGUGGGGAGUAUUGCGCAAUGGACGAAAGUCUGACGCAGCGACGCCGCGUGAGGGAUGAAGGUUUUCGGAUCGUAAACCUCUGUCAGGGGGGAAGAAAGCGCAUGGCGCCAAUCAGCCAUGCGUCGACGGUACCUCCAAAGGAAGCACCGGCUAACUCUGUGCCAGCAGCCGCGGUAAUACGGAGGGCGCGAGCGUUAAUCGGAAUUACUGGGCGUAAAGCGCGCGUAGGCUGUUGUGUAAGUUGGGGGUGAAAUCCCACGGCUCAACCGUGGAACAGCCCUUGA